CCGCCCAGCGCUGAGAAGUCAGGGCGUGCAGCAGGGACCGGACCCCGUUUCACAGACGGGAAGGCUGAAGCCCAGACCAGCCGGAGGAGCCAGCAGGGCACCCUGGCCAGGGAGAGACCAGGACACGGAUGGGACAUCUAGAUGCCAGAAGGGGAGACACCGGUUCACGCCUUAGGAGGUGCAGAUGACAAUAUCGGGUUCAAAGCACAAGUAAUCUCUACACCCAAGGCGGAGCUCGAAUUCAGGAUCCUGAGAUCAAGAGUCGCAGACUCCACUGAGUGAGCAGGCCAAGCGCCCCUGUGAGCUCAGCUAUUUUAUUUUUAUUUUAUUUCUUAUUUCAUUUUAUUUUAAUUAUACGUGUGACAUCACUGA
Long non-coding RNA from Suricata suricatta (meerkat), 372 nucleotides. RefSeq lists it as uncharacterized. The transcript is spliced from 3 exons. Lineage: Eukaryota; Metazoa; Chordata; Mammalia; Carnivora; Herpestidae. The record is from RefSeq and is a predicted model, not a curated record.